Lactuca sativa (garden lettuce) is the source of this 1427-nucleotide long non-coding RNA. RefSeq lists it as uncharacterized. The record is from RefSeq and is a predicted model, not a curated record. Lineage: Eukaryota; Viridiplantae; Streptophyta; Magnoliopsida; Asterales; Asteraceae.
UCUUUUACAGGUAAUUUUAUGUCAUUAUGUAGGUUGUUUGUGUACAGGUGGCCUCACCGUUUUAUCGACCAGGCUUCAUUUCUGGCUUUAUCAACAGUAGAUAACAUCCCCAUUCCAGUGUUUCCAGGAUCACCGACUCAGGGUUCGCCGAUUCAUCAUUUCAGAAACAUCUCCAUUUCCUGUUUCUCCCUUGCAACGUCUUCUUCAACAUCUUUGGGAAUCCUUCAUUCUCAAAACCUUUCACCAACACAAACAGUUCCUCCAUAUUAUUUCUCACCAUACACAUCUCUGUCACCGCUAUUACUCUCCAAUCAAAAGGUUACAGAACUGUGGAUUAUCCACCGACUGUCUCUCCUCUAUCUUCUUCUAAUUCCUCCACUUCCCGCCGCUUCUCCAAAACCCUUCGAUCUCUAUUUGAUCUCAUUGGCAUCCUUUCUAUCACUAACCAUCACCGUGGUACCAAAUCGACUACCUAUCUAUUCACUUAGAGGUUGAUGUCUGCCUUCCCAUGGAUUUCUAGGGCAAAAUCAUAGAGGUGCUUCCAUGGCGAAGGGUGGUUCGUCUCUGUACCAAUCUACCUCUUUCCUUCGUUCUUUGAUUUUCAUAUUUCCGUUGCUAUCAGUGGUGUCGACUGCUACCACCGUCGACUGCUACCGACACUAAGAAGCCGACCAAACCUAAAGCCUAACCAUCACGGCUUGCUUUUGAUUACUCGAUUUCUUUUUUCGUUUCUGCAGACAAAGAUGGAUGAAGACAUAUCUGGAGGAGACGAAAUGAGGAUUAGCAAAGUGAGGUAGAUGAUUCAUUAUACUAUUACAACAAAUGCUUAGAGUCUGAGGAAAUCAUUUGUUUGGAUAGGAGAAUGACAAUUGAAGCUGUGGAUGGCCUGCAAAAGGCACAGAUAACUAACCACCUUUGAUGCAGGUUUUCGCAUUUGCGACAUUUAAACUAAAUCACGAAUUUGCCCUUGGCAGAAAGUGUCUGGUUAUUUAAAGCUCUGCAGAGGGAACUAUCACUGAUGCUUUAUCAAUAGGCUCUUAUUCAUAGAAAUUACUUAACAUGAAAGGAGGGGCUCUUCUUGUGUUAUGUGAUGCUCUACAUGUAACAUGAGUAACUAAGAAUCGAGAAUGUGGACCCCAUGAGUCAUUAGUUCAUUUAGCUGUUACCAUACUUGAUGCCUUCAGAGAAAAUAUGGAAGAGGUCGGUGUAUCAGCUGCUGUUGAGGUGGUGAAGUUUUAGUAAGAAAAAGGGUAAAAAGAAGAUAUAGCUAGAUGAUUACCCUAAUUCUUUUUUGGCAGAAAGAUUUUUCGAAAUACGCUGCGUAAAUAAUAGAAGGAUUGAAAAUAAACCAGUAAAUGUAAAAAUGAAAGUACAGAGGUUUGAUUCUUCUAAUGGUUAUUUGUUUUCCGUUGUUCGAUUUUUCAGAA